RNAcentral lists this ribosomal RNA (497 nucleotides) under uncultured bacterium. RNAcentral's name for it is "partial 16S ribosomal RNA". It matches the Rfam family "Bacterial small subunit ribosomal RNA", at positions 28 to 507 of the family's 1533-position model. The record is from RNAcentral.
GAUGAACGCUGGCGGCGUGCCUAAUACAUGCAAGUCGAGCGAACAGAUAAGGAGCUUGCUCCUUUGACGUUAGCGGCGGACGGGUGAGUAACACGUGGGUAACCUACCUAUAAGACUGGAAUAACUCCGGGAAACCGGGGCUAAUGCCGGAUAACAUUUAGAACCGCAUGGUUCUAAAGUGAAAGAUGGUUUUGCUAUCACUUAUAGAUGGACCCGCGCCGUAUUAGCUAGUUGGUAAGGUAACGGCUUACCAAGGCAACGAUACGUAGCCGACCUAAGAGGGUGAUCGGCCACACUGGAACUGAGACACGGUCCAGACUCCUACGGGAGGCAGCAGUAGGGAAUCUUCCGCAAUGGGCGAAAGCCUGACGGAGCAACGCCGCGUGAGUGAUGAAGGUCUUCGGAUCGUAAAACUCUGUUAUUAGGGAAGAACAAAUGUGUAAGUAACUGUGCACGUCUUGACGGUACCUAAUCAGAAAGCCACGGCUAACUACGUG